RNAcentral lists this ribosomal RNA (468 nucleotides) under uncultured bacterium. RNAcentral's name for it is "partial 16S ribosomal RNA". It matches the Rfam family "Bacterial small subunit ribosomal RNA", at positions 28 to 507 of the family's 1533-position model. The record is from RNAcentral.
GACGAACGCUGGCGGCGUGCUUAACACAUGCAAGUCGAACGGAAAGGCCCUGCUUUUGCGGGGUGCUCGAGUGGCGAACGGGUGAGUAACACGUGAGUAACCUGCCCUUGACUUUGGGAUAACUUCAGGAAACUGGGGCUAAUACCGGAUAGGAGCUCCUGCUGCAUGGUGGGGGUUGGAAAGUUUCGGCGGUUGGGGAUGGACUCGCGGCUUAUCAGCUUGUUGGUGGGGUAGUGGCUUACCAAGGCUUUGACGGGUAGCCGGCCUGAGAGGGUGACCGGCCACAUUGGGACUGAGAUACGGCCCAGACUCCUACGGGAGGCAGCAGUGGGGAAUAUUGCACAAUGAGCGGAAGCCUGAUGCAGCAACGCCGCGUGCGGGAUGACGGCCUUCGGGUUGUAAACCGCUUUCGCCUGUGACGAAGCGUGAGUGACGGUAAUGGGUAAAGAAGCACCGGCUAACUACGUG